CGGAGGGGUGAGUAACACGUGGGCAACCUGCCUGUAAGACUGGGAUAACUCCGGGAAACCGGGGCUAAUACCGGAUAAUUCAUUUCCUCUCAUGAGGAAAUGCUGAAAGACGGUUUCGGCUGUCACUUACAGAUGGGCCCGCGGCGCAUUAGCUAGUUGGUGAGGUAAUGGCUCACCAAGGCAACGAUGCGUAGCCGACCUGAGAGGGUGAUCGGCCACACUGGGACUGAGACACGGCCCAGACUCCUACGGGAGGCAGCAGUAGGGAAUCUUCCGCAAUGGACGAAAGUCUGACGGAGCAACGCCGCGUGAGCGAUGAAGGCCUUCGGGUCGUAAAGCUCUGUUGUUAGGGAAGAACAAGUAUCGGAGUAACUGCCGGUACCUUGACGGUACCUAACCAGAAAGCCACGGCUAACUACGUGCCAGCAGCCGCGGUAAUACGUAGGUGGCAAGCGUUGUCCGGAAUUAUUGGGCGUAAAGCGCGCGCAGGUGGUUCCUUAAGUCUGAUGUGAAAGCCCACGGCUCAACCGUGGAGGGUCAUUGGAAACUGGGGAACUUGAGUGCAGAAGAGGAAAGUGGAAUUCCACGUGUAGCGGUGAAAUGCGUAGAGAUGUGGAGGAACACCAGUGGCGAAGGCGACUUUCUGGUCUGUAACUGACACUGAGGCGCGAAAGCGUGGGGAGCGAA
This 687-nucleotide ribosomal RNA is filed under the name Bacillus sp. (in: firmicutes). RNAcentral's name for it is "bacterial SSU rRNA". It matches the Rfam family "Bacterial small subunit ribosomal RNA", at positions 99 to 772 of the family's 1533-position model. The record is from RNAcentral. Lineage: Bacteria; Bacillati; Bacillota; Bacilli; Caryophanales; Bacillaceae.